AACGAACGCUGGCGGCAUGCCUAACACAUGCAAGUCGAACGAAGGCUUCGGCCUUAGUGGCGCACGGGUGCGUAACGCGUGGGAAUCUGCCCCUCGGUUCGGAAUAACAGUUAGAAAUGACUGCUAAUACCGGAUGAUGACUUCGGUCCAAAGAUUUAUCGCCGAGGGAUGAGCCCGCGUAAGAUUAGGUAGUUGGUGGGGUAAAGGCCUACCAAGCCGACGAUCUUUAGCUGGUCUGAGAGGAUGAUCAGCCACACUGGGACUGAGACACGGCCCAGACUCCUACGGGAGGCAGCAGUGGGGAAUAUUGGACAAUGGGCGAAAGCCUGAUCCAGCAAUGCCGCGUGAGUGAUGAAGGCCUUAGGGUUGUAAAGCUCUUUUACCAGGGAUGAUAAUGACAGUACCUGGAGAAUAAGCUCCGGCUAACUCCGUGCCAGCAGCAGCCGCAG
Molecule: ribosomal RNA, 449 nt
Filed under: uncultured bacterium
Lineage: Bacteria
Description: partial 16S ribosomal RNA
Rfam family: Bacterial small subunit ribosomal RNA
Source: RNAcentral